RNAcentral lists this ribosomal RNA (688 nucleotides) under Hesperapis trochanterata. RNAcentral describes it as "eukaryotic LSU rRNA". It matches the Rfam family "Eukaryotic large subunit ribosomal RNA", at positions 386 to 834 of the family's 3401-position model. The record is from RNAcentral. Lineage: Eukaryota; Metazoa; Arthropoda; Insecta; Hymenoptera; Melittidae.
AGUUCAAGAGUACGUGAAACCGUUCAGGGGUAAACCUGAGAAACCCAAAAGUUCGAAAAGGGAGAUUCAUCGUCGACGACUGCUGGCUCCCGAUGGCGCGCGAUGCCCCUCGUCUAACGUACGUGGGGGCACGCCGCUUCGGCGAACGUUCCGGCGUCGCGGUCGUGCACUUCUCCCUUAGUAGGACGUCGCGACCCGUUGCGUGUCGGUCUACGGGCCGGGUGGGAGCCUGUCGCGUUCGCGCGCGACAACCCCUCGGAGCCCGACCGACUGCGCGACGGUAUUCGAAUACGGUAUAAGGCCGCAAAAUCUUUUGCUUGCGUCAGGCCCGCCGCAAGUUGUACCAGUUUUCACCCGGAUCGACGGACUCUGCGCCGUCCCCGGGCCUGGUUAACUGUUGGCUGAGCGGUGUCCUCGGACCGGCUAACAUACCCGUCAGCGACGCUAUUGCUUUGGGUACUCUCAGGACCCGUCUUGAAACACGGACCAAGGAGUCUAACAUGUACGCGAGUCAUUGGGACUUGUUAAACCUAAAGGCGAAAUGAAAGUGAAAGUCGGCCUUCGCGUCGACCGAGGGAGGAUGGGCCGUGUACCAAUACGGCCUCGCACUCCCGGGGCGUCUCGUUCUCAUCGCGAGAGGAGGCGCACCCAGAGCGUACACGUUGGGACCCGAAAGAUGGUGAACUAA